This 403-nucleotide ribosomal RNA is filed under the name Verrucomicrobiota bacterium. RNAcentral's name for it is "Verrucomicrobia bacterium partial 16S ribosomal RNA". It matches the Rfam family "Bacterial small subunit ribosomal RNA", at positions 355 to 776 of the family's 1533-position model. Lineage: Bacteria; Pseudomonadati; Verrucomicrobiota. The record is from RNAcentral.
UGGGGAAUAUUGCACAAUGGGGGAAACCCUGAUGCAGCGACGCCGCGUGAGCGAAGAAGGCCUUCGGGUCGUAAAGCUCUUUUAUGAGGGAAGAUAAUGACGGUACCAUAAGAAAAAGCCCCGGCUAACUACGUGCCAGCAGCCGCGGUAAUACGUAGGGGGCUAGCGUUGUCCGGAAUCACUGGGCGUAAAGGGUUCGCAGGCGGAAAUGCAAGUCAGGUGUAAAAGGCAGUAGCUUAACUACUGUAAGCAUUUGAAACUGCAUAUCUUGAGAAGAGUAGAGGUAAGUGGAAUUUUUAGUGUAGCGAUGAAAUGCGUAGAUAUUAAAAAGAAUACCGGUGGCGAAGGCGACUUACUGGGCUCAUUCUGACGCUGAGGAACGAAAGCGUGGGUAGCAAACAGG